AACGCGAAGAACCUUACCAGGUCUUGACAUCCCGCUGACCGCUCUGGAGACAGAGCUUCCCUUCGGGGCAGCGGUGACAGGUGGUGCAUGGUUGUCGUCAGCUCGUGUCGUGAGAUGUUGGGUUAAGUCCCGCAACGAGCGCAACCCUUAUUUCUAGUUGCCAGCAUUCAGUUGGGCACUCUAGAGAGACUGCCGUCGACAAGACGGAGGAAGGCGGGGAUGACGUCAAAUCAUCAUGCCCCUUAUGACCUGGGCUACACACGUGCUACAAUGGUUGGUACAACGGGAUGCUACCUCGCGAGAGGACGCCAAUCUCUUAAAACCAAUCUCAGUUCGGAUUGUAGGCUGCAACUCGCCUACAUGAAGUCGGAAUCGCUAGUAAUCGCGGAUCAGCAUGCCGCGGUGAAUACGUUCCCGGGUCUUGUACACACCG
This 433-nucleotide ribosomal RNA is filed under the name uncultured Brevibacillus sp. RNAcentral's name for it is "bacterial SSU rRNA". It matches the Rfam family "Bacterial small subunit ribosomal RNA", at positions 958 to 1392 of the family's 1533-position model. The record is from RNAcentral. Lineage: Bacteria; Bacillati; Bacillota; Bacilli; Caryophanales; Paenibacillaceae.